AGCUGGACCAGUCUCUCCAGAACGGCCACGCGGUCCAGGAGGUCCAAUUGGGCCAGGCAGGCCAUUAGCUCCAUCCUUUCCAGCUGGACCGACAGGGCCAGGUGGCCCCUAAAGAGGAGGAAACAUUAAGGGGACGGUUCUCCAGCAGGUCCAGUCAGUCCAGGAGGUCCCACAGGGCCAGGAGGACCACGGUCUCCAGGACCACCAGGAGUGCCCUGCUUGCCAGGCUCACCCUGUAAAGAGGUGACAGUUGAUGUCAUAUGUCACAGAUGUCAUUAAGAUUACUCACAGGAGGACCAUCUUCCCCUGGCUCUCCCUUUUCCCCUGGAGGACCAGCUGGACCACGUAGACCUGCAUCACCCUGUCUGCCUGGGGGACCACCAUCACCACGCACACCCUUAGGACCAUCUUUCCCAGGAGAACCAGCAGGACCUGCGGGACCAGGGUUACCCUGAAAAAUAGGGAAUGAGAGAGCUGAAGAUCAAGCUUUUGAUAAUAAACACUGAAUGUACAUACAUAAUCAUGAAUAUUUUACUCCACUUGAACCUAUACCCUUUUUCAAAUUUGACCAAAGUUAAGAACUAAAGUCUUGUUGAGAUUGGAACAAUGAUCUGAAAAGUAAGAGACAAUGUUUUACAUUUUUUACUUUAAAAAAUAAUAAUUCAUGCUUUUUUAAAUUGGUCUGCCUUUUAUCUAAAAUAGCUUAACUGUUAUACAUAAAGCAAACUGUAGGUUGACAUGAAGAGAAACACAAAAGCUCAUCUGGCUUAAAAUGGCUUAUAAGAAAUUAAAAAGAAACUCUGAAUCUUACUGUCUCUUUCUAA
Long non-coding RNA from Pygocentrus nattereri (red-bellied piranha), 824 nucleotides. RefSeq lists it as uncharacterized. NCBI's taxonomy places the organism in Eukaryota, Metazoa, Chordata, Actinopteri, Characiformes, Serrasalmidae. The transcript is spliced from 3 exons. The record is from RefSeq and is a predicted model, not a curated record.